GAAAAAGAACCUGAAACCGUGUACGUACAAGCAGUGGGAGCACAGAGCAAUCUGUGUGACUGCGUACCUUUUGUAUAAUGGGUCAGCGACUUAUAUUCUGUAGCAAGGUUAACCGAAUAGGGGAGCCGAAGGGAAACCGAGUCUUAACUGGGCGUUAAGUUGCAGGGUAUAGACCCGAAACCCGGUGAUCUAGCCAUGGGCAGGUUGAAGGUUGGGUAACACUAACUGGAGGACCGAACCGACUAAUGUUGAAAAAUUAGCGGAUGACUUGUGGCUGGGGGUGAAAGGCCAAUCAAACCGGGAGAUAGCUGGUUCUCCCCGAAAGCUAUUUAGGUAGCGCCUCGUGAAUUCAUCUCCGGGGGUAGAGCACUGUUUCGGCAAGGGGGUCAUCCCGACUUACCAACCCGAUGCAAACUGCGAAUACCGGAGAAUGUUAUCACGGGAGACACACGGCGGGUGCUAACGUCCGUCGUGAAGAGGGAAACAACCCAGACCGCCAGCUAAGGUCCCAAAGUCAUGGUUAAGUGGGAAACGAUGUGGGAAGGCCCAGACAGCCAGGAUGUUGGCUUAGAAGCAGCCAUCAUUUAAAGAAAGCGUAAUAGCUCACUGGUCGAGUCGGCCUGCGCGGAAGAUGUAACGGGGCUAAACCAUGCACCGAAGCUGCGGCAGCGACACUGUGUGUUGUUGGGUAGGGGAGCGUUCUGUAAGCCUGUGAAGGUGUGCUGUGAGGCAUGCUGGAGGUAUCAGAAGUGCGAAUGCUGACAUAAGUAACGAUAAAGCGGGUGAAAAGCCCGCUCGCCGGAAGACCAAGGGUUCCUGUCCAACGUUAAUCGGGGCAGGGUGAGUCGACCCCUAAGGCGAGGCCGAAAGGCGUAGUCGAUGGGAAACAGGUUAAUAUUCCUGUACUUGGUGUUACUGCGAAGGGGGGACGGAGAAGGCUAUGUUGGCCGGGCGACGGUUGUCCCGGUUUAAGCGUGUAGGCUGGUUUUCCAGGCAAAUCCGGAAAAUCAAGGCUGAGGCGUGAUGACGAGGCACUACGGUGCUGAAGCAACAAAUGCCCUGCUUCCAGGAAAAGCCUCUAAGCAUCAGGUAACAUCAAAUCGUACCCCAAACCGACACAGGUGGUCAGGUAGAGAAUACCAAGGCGCUUGAGAGAACUCGGGUGAAGGAACUAGGCAAAAUGGUGCCGUAACUUCGGGAGAAGGCACGCUGAUAUGUAGGUGAAGUCCCUCGCGGAUGGAGCUGAAAUCAGUCGAAGAUACCAGCUGGCUGCAACUGUUUAUUAAAAACACAGCACUGUGCAAACACGAAAGUGGACGUAUACGGUGUGACGCCUGCCCGGUGCCGGAAGGUUAAUUGAUGGGGUCAGCGCAAGCGAAGCUCUUGAUCGAAGCCCUGGUAAACGGCGGCCGUAACUAUAACGGUC
RNAcentral lists this ribosomal RNA (1426 nucleotides) under Escherichia coli. Its description in RNAcentral is "partial 23S ribosomal RNA". It matches the Rfam family "Bacterial large subunit ribosomal RNA", at positions 540 to 1950 of the family's 2925-position model. Lineage: Bacteria; Pseudomonadati; Pseudomonadota; Gammaproteobacteria; Enterobacterales; Enterobacteriaceae. The record is from RNAcentral.